RNAcentral lists this unclassified non-coding RNA (229 nucleotides) under Hevea brasiliensis (rubber tree). The record is from RNAcentral. Lineage: Eukaryota; Viridiplantae; Streptophyta; Magnoliopsida; Malpighiales; Euphorbiaceae.
GCCAUGGCUCGUGAAACCAUUGUAUGGUUUCAUCAGUGAUUCCUUCCCACUCUUUGGAUACCGGAGGAGAUCAUACUUGGUACUCUCAGGGCUUCUUGGAGCAUUCUCAUGGUUUUUGAUGGCUACCUUCGUUGAUAGCAAGUAUAGUGCUGCCUUCUCCAUACUUAUUGGUUCUCUUUCUGUCGCUUUCUCAGAUGUUGUUGUAGAUUCCAUGGUUGUUGAGAGGGCA